Molecule: non-coding RNA, 6913 nt
Organism: Bactrocera oleae (olive fruit fly)
Lineage: Eukaryota; Metazoa; Arthropoda; Insecta; Diptera; Tephritidae
Source: RefSeq, a predicted model, not a curated record
CAAAUUUUAUAUAUGAAUUACAGGAACAGGAAAGAACGGACUUACAUUGGGUGUACAACAGUAUGCAUCCCUUAAGAUUUUUUUGUGUUUAAAUUUACCCUUGUUUCCAGGGUAGGUAAAAAGCGUGUGAAAAUCACCCUAUAAUAGGUACUACUUUUUGCGUAUAAGCGGAGGAAUUGCAUCGUUCAUGCCAGAGUCAGAGUAUAAAUAGCGGGCUGCAAUGAACGAAAUUUCACAGUUGUUGGCGAGAAGUUAUACUGAAUAUGCUGUGAAAAUUCUGUACUUUUGAAACAAGGAAGUGAAAGCUGAUUUAUAUACAUGUACCAGAAGUGAGCCGAGUCAUCAAAGUCAAGGCCAACAAAGUUUGAAGCUUGUGAAAAUGUUUUUGUUGAACAAGAUCCAACAACUCUCUGCGGUUGGGUCCGUAAUUUUCGUAUCAAACGAUCAGAAAUGAAAAGAAAGUUACGUGGCAAUUUGCGUGUAAAUGCGAUGUUGAAUACAGCUCUUUUGACUGCGGAGGCUGAAUUGCGUCGCAAGCAGAGAGAACGUUUUCGUCGUUGGGCCGAGUUCCAAACGAAACUAGAUGGCAGUUACGCCAUCAGCAGUUAUGUAAAGGGCAAGGCGUCUGAAGAGGAGGAAGCUGAACGUCAAAAAAAGGUGGAUAAUUUGUGGAAAAGUGAGCUUAGUGACUUGGAUUCCUUUAUGCGAUCGUUGAGCAGCAGUACUAAUAAAGAUUGCAACGUUAAAUCCGCAUAUAUAAAUAAAUAUAAUGUAAAACGUGAUAAUAGCAAUGUGUUACAAAGUAUUGCAGUAGUUAGUUAAUAGUUUUAACUGCAAAUGUCUCAAUUGUGUAUUUGUAGUAUAGUUUUAUCAAGCAAGUUUUUCAUUUGCAGUCAUUGAAGCAUCGUACAAAGUGCUCCAAAAUGUGAAAAUGAAAACCGAGUGAGUUGAUGUGACACCAUUUUCUGGUAGAGAAAGCUAAAGCCAACGAGACGGCUGGGCGAAUCCGAGCCGAGUUUUGGGAGCUACGUACGCACAACUGAUGUGUAGAUGAUCAGCUCAGAUAUUACUCAAUCGGUUCGUAAAACUAAUAUUUAAACAAAACUAAAUAAAUUGCGAUGUUUAUUGUAUAUGAGUAGCUAAUUUUAACACAAAGCAAAAUUGUAAAGCCAUCGCCAUUUUGUUUAUAUAACAGUCGAUUUUCUAUUCACUUCGGAAGUAGACUUCGGCAAUCAUGCCGAAAGGUGUAUAUAUAAGACUUCGGACUGUGUCGUGUGGUGUUUCAUAUGCUGUACGCUAAUGACUAAUUUACUCGCGAUAUUUUAAUCACCUUUGAUGUUAUGUACAGGUUUUAUUUCAUGAUUUGAAUGCUUGGCAUUACACAUUAAUUCAACAAAAUGCGAACUGAAAUUAUCUUAUACACAUGCAAAUACCUAAUUUAAAUGUAUAACAGUUUACAAUACAAUAGGGUGAGCAAAAGAGAUGACAAUAAAUUGUAUAACAGUUCACAAUACAAUAGUGUGAGCAAAAGAGAUGACACUAUACGCUUUACAUAUUUGCUUUGAGUUGAUGUAGUUUGACUGCUAUAGUGCAAUCAAUACAUGAGGUGUACCUGAAAAGUUGGUCUGAUUCAUAUUGAAUCAAUUGUGAUGUUUCUAGAUAAAAUUCGUUUUUUGGCGAUAAAAGAUGAAAAAUCGGGAGGUAUUUGAUCCAACAACAGAGUGAGUGAGCUAAAACAAAGAGAAUGAGAACAUAGAAAUUCUACACAAAUUGCUGUGGGUGCUAAUUCGGAUAUAGGAUCUAUUCGGAAUAUGAAAGUGGCGGAAGCGACGGUAUGUGCUGGUGUGAUGUACUGCAGUAGUUUGUCAGUUGCACGCGCUGUUCCUCACUUAUUACACCCAACAUCGAUUUUGAAAAAUUGGUGGUGACGUCUUGAGAGAAUGGGCAACAAAGUGUGUUUGCAGCCGUGGCAUCAAUAGAAAGCCAUACUCGUGCGUUAACCAAAACAGCAUAAUUUCCAGAAACGAAUAUGUGGGACAAUGCAGGGACAAAAAUAUGCAAACAACCAACCAUAUGGUUGCGAAUGGUAUUUACAAAUAUUUUCGAAGAACAAUUAGCUUUAAAAUUUCAGCAAUGCGAAAUAGUUGAACGUGCCUGUUCGCAUUUAAAACCAACAUACAAAUAUCCAAAACAAGAUAACAUCGUGGGGAAUAAUUUUAUAUAUCAAGCGGAUAAUCGAAAUCGUCGUUCUACUCUCCUUAAUCUAUUUAUACUGGGGGUUGUAAAUAUUGUGGCCCUAUCUUAUAUCAACGUGACGUAAGCCAAAUGGAUUUCCUCUUUAAACACUUUUGUUAAUUUACAGAAUCCUGAAUGUUGAAAUUGAAUCUUAUUUGCUGGCUAGAGGCUGCCGAAACAACCAUCUCCUUUCUUUUCUACUUCUGUUCUUAGUUUUUCUUUUCCCCCUUUGUUUACGAUUUUGUUACAGCGAUACAACAGUUGAACGGUUCCUGUGUGUAUCGGUGGUCCAAUGAUAAGAGCUGAUCAACAAUUUCCAAGUAUUAUGAGAAUGUGUUGAGGGAAAACUAGUCCCGGAUUGAGAAAAACAACUAAGCCCACUUUAUUACGAAAAUACAAAACACAUAUUUUAUACUCAUUUAGAGAACAAAUGAGCGAAUUAGAGCUUUCUUUUAGAUUUUUCAGUGAUACUGCACAAUAUUGCGAAUUAUAUUGAUGUUAAAGAUUGCAUGCGUCCAAUUUGGCAGAUAGAUCCGCUCCAUGUCUUUUGAAAUGUGGCGACGAAGUGGUGAGGUUAGGUCCAUCAUAUCUUGCACUAAUUUCUACCAUUACAGCAUCAAUAAUGGGAAUCAAAGACUUAAGUUAUGGGCCUCAAAUCACAUCAGAACUACCAGCGGGUAAUUCAACGGGAUAACAUUUUAGUAUUUCUUUUUAGCGAUGCGUCGCAGUAGAACGUUCCUGUACGCAUCUAAAAACUUUUGUAAACAAUUGAGAAGCUUAACGAUAUUGUCAUCACCUUAAAGACAUUGAGAGCAUCAUCACAUAUUUUCUAUUCAAUUCAAUUGUAAGAGCAAAUACAAUUUUAUUUGACUAAUACACAAUUUAUAGGAAACACUUAAGAGUACGAUCAACUUUCCUAACACUGCUUUGUUAUGGCACAAUUGGACUUUUCAAAAAACAACCAGGAGAAAACUUUGAAUACCUUAAGAACAUCUCUUAAUUGCACGAUAUUUCAACUUGAAACCGAUUGUAAGACAUUUGCAAUUUAAAUUUGACUAAUAAGUAAUUCAUAGGAAACGAUAACUUAACAAUUGCACUGCAAGGAUACAUUUUAAUUUGUCAAUCACCAAAUUACAAACGCAUGGAAAUGUAAAUACUGUUCUGAACAUAAGGGCUAAAAUAUGUAAAAAUGGCAAAAGGGAAUCGUGCCAAGACAAUACCAUCUAAACAGAAGUUGUCAACGAGGUUAGGUUGAUUUAUAUAUCUGUAGUAAUGUUAUUUCACAGUUAUUGCACGAGCAGCUGUGGAGGGAGGAGAUCUCUGCUAUAUCUGGUUGAAUACCAAGAUUUCGGUCUAUUAAAUUGGACGACCAAGACGAAAGGUUUACCUUAUCUUAAUAAGUACUUAAUAUCCAAUUGCCUUUUGUUUAUAUUAUGACUGUUAUACCAUAAAUCACGCGAUAGAGAAGAAAUUUCCAUAUUUUACAGCGGUACGUCGCAGUUGAUCGGUGCCUGCGUGUGCCCGUGUCUGUGCCUAGUUCACUAGGAAGUUUUUCUAAAGCAGCUUAACAGAUUUAGAUCUUAAAAAUCUCCGAAGGAGUCACCAAAAGCAACAGUAAGAAACUGUUUCCUUGCCAUAAAUUAAUGUGUUUCUUAUAGAUUUCACAAAAUCAAUCUACUAAGGAUUGGAUCCUACAUCAUGCUUAUACAGACGAAGAAACAUUCCAACAUUAUAAUCUGCAUUUAAUUUUACUAUCUGGACCGUAAAAUUACAAAACAUCAAUUCUGAAUUAGUAUGGCAAAGAUACGGUUAAAUGUCGAAUUUUUUUUUACAGAAACGUACCUGGACCUUGCAUGAAAGGGAAAAAUAUAGGUUCUUGGCAAAAAGGGAAUCACGCCAACAGCAGGUGCAAUGCAUCAAAAUUUUUUACGAAAGAAAAACACCAAUUUUAUACAAGAGGUUAGAUGAAAAUCUUUAUACAACCAAAGCACGUGGUAUUCGAUAUUUGCCAGCUUUAAAAGGCCAAUCGACAAUGUUUUUUACAACACCUCUGGGAAUUUAAUUGUUUAACGAAUUGGAUAAUUUGUUAUUUUAUUUUAUAUUUUUUUCGGAAAUGUGCAACUUUUUUCAUUACAAUUUGUAGCGAUAUAACGCAGUAGAUCUGUACCUGCGUAUAUCUCAUCUGUAUACUGGCUAUAGGGAAUCAAGCCAUACGACACUCGGUAAAAAAAUGCGCCCCUCAUGUGAAACAUCGGUUUAUGAGCAGUGAAAGGGCAUCCAAAUAGAAAUAACGGUUCCCGUGGAUAUCUUCCACUUGAAACUGGUAAAACUAAAAUGUCUCGAUUUAUCAUACAUAUCUUUACGAUUUUACUAGCGAAUUUAUUUUCGCGGCACCAAAAAACAACGAAAUAGUUUAUUUAUUACAGCGAUAUGAUACAGUUGAACGGUACCUGUAUGUAUCUACAAUGUGAAUAAUAAUCGGUCGACUCUGCCAACUAAAGGUCUAUUAGAGAUAACCAUCACGAAUAAACGGCAAUUUACGGUGAUGCAUUUCAGUAUUGACUCAUGUGGCAGUUGAGGAAACUGAAGGUGCUUUGAAAAUGAACCUUUCCUUCAAUUAAACAUUUAUUUGCAGUUUGAAAUUACGUCCAACUUCUUGGUAAUGUCGUAAGAGAAACUAACUGUGACAACAAGAUGUUUCAGCAUUAUCAGUAUUUUCAAAAUAGUGGGUACGAGCCUUCGCUUCUUUUACCAUUGUUGCAACUUGCAGAAUUUACUCGGCCUAUUUUUUUUUUCAUUGAGGAAGUGCAUCAACGAGCCUUAAAUCUUCAAUUAAAUGAGGUGUUUACUUGAAAUAUCCGUAUUUGUUAAACACUCUAUUUGCAGUAAACAAUUAAAUGUUUAAGUCACUGUUAAACAUACAAAUGACGGCAUUGUACGCAUCCAGAUGAUCGUUAAAGGGAAUCGAACGAUACAACUAGAAGUGGCCGUCCAUAUACACACUUACCAUAUAUACUGCUAAUCAAUGUAAUCACGAUAGUCUUGUUCUAAUUAUACGUUAUCUAGUAACUGAAGGACAAGCUGUAAGUCGCACCUCAGAAUACACAUUUUAUAACAUCGUUGGUCUUCCGUUUCCUUUCGUAAUGUGCGAAUCCGUACGAGUCGCCGCUCGGCCAAUUCCCUGGCAUUGAGCGAUGGCAAGGAGUUCUGAUGUAUCUGUCCCCGAAUGUGGGCGAAGAAAUGUUUCUAAAGGGAAUCAAAGAAACACGCGUAAGACUUGUUACGGUUCGUUCUGUUAGUAUAAAAUUAUAUAUUUACAGGUCUCAUGUGACUUAACGAGUCAUAGUAAGAAACGAUUUCAAUCACUGAAUGUGGUCUGCAGAUGUUCUAGCAAAGGCUCAUUAAAGAAGUUUUAUCAAUCCAAACGACAAUGGCCUAGUUAACAUGUUGAUUAUGUAAUUGCUCAUUCUACUGGACAUUUUGAAAAUUGUACACCUAAAAAUGAUGAAAUCCUUGUUUACACGACUACUUUUUUUGUUACAAUUACUUUUCUGUUAAAAUACCUUAAAAGAUAAUUGUAUCCAAGCAUUCUACUUGCCCAAAUGGCAAUGAUAUCCAAUUUUCUGUUAUAAUAUCUAAGUUCAAUUGUUUAUCACCCACGAUGUUUAUAGAAAAUCUAAUAAUUUUAUCUGAUUGUAAAUUAUAACAACUGUACGAUGAAGUAGUCGGUCCACUAAUAUGCCAAGUGCAUAAAGAAAUGUGAAGAAAUUUAAAUCCAUAUUCUAAUAUAUGUAAAUGUAAACCGAGAAGAAAAAUCUCAUGUAAAUUGUGACAGUUCAUAUUGACUGAAAUAUCGCAAAUACUUUUGCAUUGUAAUAUUCACCAAUUUUUAAAGAUAUUCUGUAAAUUGAUUCCUUAUAUAUUUUUAAAAAAAUCUUACCUUGUAAUUUGACAUGUAACAUUUUUUGAAUGAAUGUAAUUUUGAUACCUAUAUUAAUUAACUUGGCACACGGCACGAAAGCAGUGAAAACUACAUAUUUCCACCACAAGAUCAAAGCACUCCUUGGUGACCGGUGCGUGAGAGAGAGAGAGAGAAAGAUGCCAUUUUUGUCAUACAAAGGGUUUUGCAGUGUGAGCAUCAUAAUGAGAGCAGAGAUUUCGUCUUAUCUAUUGGGUUAAUUCUUAACUACACAACACACAUCCAUCCGAUUGCAAGAGAGAUGCAGAGAUAAAGGGAGAAAAGGCAGGAAAGAGUGCAAGAUAUAGAAAGCUUAGUUCAUAUAGGGAAAACAUCCUGAUCAGCUGUUCGGUUUGGGAAACCGAGUUAAUUUGGUGGAAUGCGCGGAAGAUUCAAUUGGCUCUUCAAUAUUCUUCGGCCGUACCAUCUAAGCCGCAUUCGCCUCAAACCAAUACGUUGCAAGUGCUUUAUACAGCGCCUCACAUUCAAAUUCCAUCCUUAAAUAUUUGUGUGGCAUACACAACUUUUGCAAGUCAGCAGAGCUACUCACAAUCUCGUCCGAUAUACAAGUAGUUCGUCCUGGUCACGUGUUACGUGCGCAAGCAACCUCAUCUAGCGUCCUUGUUUAUACUUAACUGCAAGCAAGCGUGCACACAAACACCUCGUAUUAACGCACAUAUUUAUCAACACACAACCAAAAGCAUUCUUUACCACCAAAAA